GUGUCAGCAGCCGCGGUAAUACGGAGGGUGCAAACGUUGCUCGGAAUCAUUGGGCGUAAAGCGCACGUAGGCGGUCCAGCAAGUCGGGUGUGAAAGCCCUCGGCUUAACCGGGGAAGUGCAUUCGAAACUACUGGGCUUGAGUACUGAAGAGGAUCGCGGAAUUCCCGGUGUAGAGGUGAAAUUCGUAGAUAUCGGGAGGAACACCAGUGGCGAAGGCGGCGAUCUGGGCAGAUACUGACGCUGAUGUGCGAAAGCGUGGGGAGCAAACAGGAUUAGAAACCCUAGUAGUCC
RNAcentral lists this ribosomal RNA (292 nucleotides) under uncultured bacterium. RNAcentral describes it as "partial 16S ribosomal RNA". It matches the Rfam family "Bacterial small subunit ribosomal RNA", at positions 505 to 796 of the family's 1533-position model. The record is from RNAcentral.